RNAcentral lists this unclassified non-coding RNA (348 nucleotides) under soil metagenome. Its description in RNAcentral is "partial contains 5.8S ribosomal RNA, internal transcribed spacer 2, and large subunit ribosomal RNA". The stretch from base 1 to 120 matches the Rfam family "5.8S ribosomal RNA", at positions 35 to 154 of the family's 154-position model. The record is from RNAcentral.
GAUGAAGAACGUAGCGAAAUGCGAUAAGUAAUGUGAAUUGCAGAAUUCAGUGAAUCAUCGAGUCUUUGAACGCACAUUGCGCCCCCUGGUAUUCCGGGGGGCAUGCCUGUCCGAGCGUCAUUGCUGCCCUCAAGCACGGCUUGUGUGUUGGGCCCCCGCCCCCCGGCUUCGGGGGGCGGGCCCGAAAGGCAGCGGCGGCACCGCGUCCGGUCCUCGAGCGUAUGGGGCUUCGUCACCCGCUCUGUAGGCCCGGCCGGCGCCCGCCGGCGACCCCAAUCAAUCUUUCCAGGUUGACCUCGGAUCAGGUAGGGAUACCCGCUGAACUUAAGCAUAUCAAUAAGCGAAGGA